Molecule: ribosomal RNA, 253 nt
Filed under: uncultured bacterium
Lineage: Bacteria
Description: partial 16S ribosomal RNA
Rfam family: Bacterial small subunit ribosomal RNA
Source: RNAcentral
GACAGAGGGUGCAAACGUUGCUCGGAAUCACUGGGCGUAAAGCGCACGUAGGCGGCUUUUUAAGUCAGGGGUGAAAUCCUGGAGCUCAACUCCAGAACUGCCUUUGAUACUGAGAAGCUCGAGUCCGGGAGAGGUGAGUGGAACUGCGAGUGUAGAGGUGAAAUUCGUAGAUAUUCGCAAGAACACCAGUGGCGAAGGCGGCUCACUGGCCCGGUACUGACGCUGAGGUGCGAAAGCGUGGGGAGCAAACAGG